GGGGAAUAUUGGACAAUGGACGAAAGUCUGAUCCAGCGACGCCGCGUGGAGGAAGAAGUCCUUCGGGAUGUAAACUCAUGAAGCUAACGAAUAAGACGGAAGGGGAACCUUCCGGGAGAAGGUAAUUAGUGAAAAGCCCCGGCUAACUACGUGCCAGCAGCCGCGGUAAUACGUAGGGGGCUAGCGUUAUCCGGAUUUACUGGGCGUAAAGGGUGCGUAGGUGGUUUCUUAAGUCAGGAGUGAAAGGCUACGGCUCAACCGUAGUAAGCUCUUGAAACUGGGAAACUUGAGUGCAGGAGAGGAAAGUGGAAUUCCUAGUGUAGCGGUGAAAUGCGUAGAUAUUAGGAAGAACACCAGUGGCGAAGGCGGCUUUCUGGACUGUAACUGACGCUGAUGCAUGAAAGCGUGGGGAGCAAACA
Molecule: ribosomal RNA, 419 nt
Filed under: uncultured Bacillota bacterium
Lineage: Bacteria; Bacillati; Bacillota
Description: bacterial SSU rRNA
Rfam family: Bacterial small subunit ribosomal RNA
Source: RNAcentral